CUCCUACCGAUUGAAUGAUCCGGUGAAGUGUUCGGAUCGCGGCGACGUGGGUGGUUCGCCGCCCGCGACGUCGCGAGAAGUCCACUAAACCUUAUCAUUUAGAGGAAGGAG
This 111-nucleotide ribosomal RNA is filed under the name Arabidopsis thaliana (thale cress). Its description in RNAcentral is "18S rRNA". It matches the Rfam family "Eukaryotic small subunit ribosomal RNA", at positions 1679 to 1785 of the family's 1831-position model. Lineage: Eukaryota; Viridiplantae; Streptophyta; Magnoliopsida; Brassicales; Brassicaceae. The record is from RNAcentral.